UGAGGAACAUGACCUUCGGCGGGGGAGUAGCCGGCCCAACGGCCGGGUAAUACCGCGUACGACCACAUGGGGACAUUCCUGAGUGGUGAAAGCAGCAAUGCGCCGAUGGAGUGCCUCGCGGCCUAUCAGCUAGUUGGUGAGGUAACGGCUCACCAAGGCGACGACGGGUAGCUGGUCUGAGAGGAUGGCCAGCCACAUUGGGACUGAGACACGGCCCAGACCUCUACCGGGGAGG
RNAcentral lists this ribosomal RNA (235 nucleotides) under uncultured bacterium. RNAcentral's name for it is "partial 16S ribosomal RNA". It matches the Rfam family "Bacterial small subunit ribosomal RNA", at positions 118 to 347 of the family's 1533-position model. The record is from RNAcentral.